This 410-nucleotide ribosomal RNA is filed under the name uncultured bacterium. RNAcentral describes it as "bacterial SSU rRNA". It matches the Rfam family "Bacterial small subunit ribosomal RNA", at positions 8 to 422 of the family's 1533-position model. The record is from RNAcentral.
AGAGUUUGAUCCUGGCUCAGAUUGAACGCUGGCGGCAUGCUUUACACAUGCAAGUCGAACGGUAACAGGCCGCAAGGUGCUGACGAGUGGCGAACGGGUGAGUAAUGCAUCGGAACGUGCCCAGUCGUGGGGGAUAACGCAGCGAAAGCUGUGCUAAUACCGCAUACGAUCUAUGGAUGAAAGCGGGGGACCGUAAGGCCUCGCGCGAUUGGAGCGGCCGAUGUCAGAUUAGGUAGUUGGUGGGGUAAAGGCUCACCAAGCCAACGAUCUGUAGCUGGUCUGAGAGGACGACCAGCCACACUGGGACUGAGACACGGCCCAGACUCCUACGGGAGGCAGCAGUGGGGAAUUUUGGACAAUGGGCGCAAGCCUGAUCCAGCAAUGCCGCGUGCAGGAAGAAGGCCUUCGGG